UAACUAGGACCAAUUCAGUCACGUUUUCAUUCAUUUGGAAUCUGGGCUCUUCUACUUCAUUUUUAUUUACUU
This 72-nucleotide transfer RNA is filed under the name Prunus campanulata (Taiwan cherry). Its description in RNAcentral is "tRNA-Val". Lineage: Eukaryota; Viridiplantae; Streptophyta; Magnoliopsida; Rosales; Rosaceae. The record is from RNAcentral.